GAUUUGUUGCCCACAUAAUAUGUCAGUUUGGGUAUAUUUUCAAAGCAAACUGUAAGAAUUAACUAAUGUUUCCACACUUACUUGAAAUAAUAAAUAUUUAUUGAAAUAACCCUCUAAGCCACUAUUCAACAAGCACACAUUUUACUCCUCUCUACAUCUUUAAAAGGAACAGUGCAAAUAUUAACACACAUUCCUGGUCCAAAAGUCACUUCACACCGUGUACCAUGGCCAAACUUCCCCAGGGUCAUUGUAGUUUGUAGCUUGUCCUUCUUCCUCUUUUUGCUAAAGGAGCUGUAUAGUUUAUGAGUGGUUGAAUUUCUGCAAGUGGAAAAUAUUGCAGAGAUCCACAGCUGGUCAAAAAGAAAGAGAAUAAUUGAUCAUUGGAUUCCCAAAGCCAGAAGCAGCAGGAUCAAGAUCAUGAAGGGAAACCAACAGAAGGGCAGACCUGAGCUAGUGGGAGCUCAUGACUCUGGACCAACAGGUACGGAGCCUGCAUGGGACAAACCUAGGCUUUUGAAUGUGGGUGACAGUUGUAAAGCUUGGUCUGUUUGUGGGGUCCGUAGUAGUGGAACCAGGACCUAUCCCUGAUGCAUGAGCUGGCUCGUUGGUACCUAUUUCCUGUGUUGGGAUGCCUUGCCCAGCUUUGAUGGAGGGGAGGAACCUGAUCCUGUCUCAACUUGGUCUGCCUUGGUUUGCUGACUUCCAAGGGGGACCUGCCCCUUUUAAUAAGGAGGAGGCACUGAUAGAAGGUAGUAAGGAGGUGAAUGGAGGGAGGGAAAACUGAGGUUUGUGUGGAAAAUAAAUGAAAAAUAAUAAUAAAAGCAAACAAAACAUUAAAAAAACAAAUAAAACAAAACAAAAAGAAAACUACAUUUAUAUCUUUUCCCAUCGUUUACAGUACAAUAUCAUUCUUUUCUUCAAGUCUUCUUAACCUUGUCUUUCCUGUUCUGAGGCAAUCAUAAGUAGGAUAUUAUGAAAAGAUGGAGGAAUUUUGUCAAUUAUUGUUUUUUUAGAAUUGAUUGUUGAACUAUCUCCCUCAUACACAUGUAAUUAUACAACACCCAGCUGUAAUCACAACUCGUAUAAAUAUGAAAAGGGCUUUGCGGAUGAGAUCCAUAUUUGCUUAAAUUUUUUUCACACUAUGAUUUCAUAAAAGCAUAAGGGUUAUUUCCUUGUUUAAAUUUUUCCAACAAUUUUUUAUUGAUUCUUUGAAUUUCAUAUCAUACACCACAACCACAAACAUUUCUCAGGUCUUUGAGAUCUCCUUCCAACCUUGUAUCUUCCCCCACAAAAAGACAAUAGGAAAUUAAAAUUACAAAAAAGUCUCAUGGUAGAAUGUGCAGUGUCUCACAGUGUGUCACACGGUGUACUCUUUAAACAAGCUGCUUUACUUGUGAAUGUUCGCUGUAAUGAGUCAUCGGACUGGUUCAGGACUCUGGGCUCUGCUACACUACCGAUGCUGGAUCCUCUCUGAGACCCCUCUGGGUUAUCCUGUUGCUGCUCUGUGUCAUUGAGAUCCUGCGACUUUGGUUCUGCAGGACCUGCCCCAUGAACUCUAGUAGCUCAUAGAUGGGGUAGGUGUUGGGUGGGCCAGCUCAAAAUCUUGGAACCGGGCCUGAGUGGUAGCUGAGUUGCUCACUGAUGCGAGCUCUCCAUGUUACCCAGGUGAGGUGUGAGGCUGUCUAUUCUGUAUCCACACUAUCAGAGCUAACUGUUCCUCACCCAUGUCACAAGGGCAAACUUUCUGACGCUGAUAAGAUGAGGGGUAAGGACCAGCUUUCCCACACUGAUGAGUCCAUGCUCAUCUACACCUUCGUUUAGGGCCAGCUCUUCCUAUCUGCUCAGGCAAGUUGCAGGGCUAGCUCACCCUAGUCCCGUGGCCAGCAAUUGGUGGGUUUAGUUCGCCCACGCACACACCACUGGGGCCAGCUCUCCCACACUGGCCGGACAAGGGACAGGGCCAUCUUUUCUUUACUUUUAUCACUGCUGGUACUACAGUGUGGUGGCUGGUGAAGGGCUGGAUCAGCUCAGCACCGUACUCAUACAACAUCAUGGCUUCAAAUGGGAGCCCAGACGAAGGAGGUCCACAUUGCCAUGGACGUUGUCACAGAACCCUGCUAGAGAAGAGCCAUGGCCCUCUGGAGCAGCACAGGUAAAGA
Molecule: long non-coding RNA, 2159 nt
Organism: Alexandromys fortis (reed vole)
Lineage: Eukaryota; Metazoa; Chordata; Mammalia; Rodentia; Cricetidae
Exons: 3
Source: RefSeq, a predicted model, not a curated record